UGGGAACGCGAAGAACCUUACCUAGACUUGACAUCCCCUGAAUUACCUGUAAUGAGGGAAGUCCCUUCGGGGACAGGGAGACAGGUGGUGCAUGGUUGUCGUCAGCUCGUGUCGUGAGAUGUUGGGUUAAGUCCCGCAACGAGCGCAACCCUUGUGAUUAGUUGCUACGCAAGAGCACUCUAAUCAGACUGCCGUUGACAAAACGGAGGAAGGUGGGGACGACGUCAAAUCAUCAUGCCCCUUAUGACCUGGGCUACACACGUACUACAAUGGCCGUCAACAACGGGAAGCAAAGUCGCGAGGUGGAGCAAAAACCCGAAAAACGGUCUCAGUUUGGAUCGCAGGCUGCAACCCGCCUGCGUGAAGCUGGAAUUGCUAGUAAUCGCGGAUCAUCAUGCCGCGGUGAAUACGUUCCCGGGUCUUGUACACACCG
Molecule: ribosomal RNA, 433 nt
Filed under: uncultured bacterium
Lineage: Bacteria
Description: bacterial SSU rRNA
Rfam family: Bacterial small subunit ribosomal RNA
Source: RNAcentral